UACGGAGGAUGCAAGCGUUAUCCGGAAUUAUUGGGCGUAAAGCGUCCGCAGGUGGCACUUCAAGUCUGUCGUCAAAGACCGGGGCUUAACCCUGGAAAGGCGAUGGAAACUGAAAGGCUAGAGAGAGGUAGGGGUAGAGGGAAUUCCCAGUGUAGCGGUGAAAUGCGUAGAGAUUGGGAAGAACACCGGUGGCGAAAGCGCUCUGCUGGACCUUAACUGACACUGAGGGACGAAAGCUAGGGGAGCGAAUGGG
This 253-nucleotide ribosomal RNA is filed under the name uncultured bacterium. Its description in RNAcentral is "partial 16S ribosomal RNA". It matches the Rfam family "Bacterial small subunit ribosomal RNA", at positions 524 to 776 of the family's 1533-position model. The record is from RNAcentral.